This 652-nucleotide long non-coding RNA is filed under the name Marmota monax (woodchuck). The record is from RNAcentral. Lineage: Eukaryota; Metazoa; Chordata; Mammalia; Rodentia; Sciuridae.
GAUGAAUAAAAUACUUCAGAGGCUUCUAGUGCAUGGAUUUCCUGGAAUCUAUUCAGAGACCUAUCUUGUUUACUUCUGGUUCUUCAGCUAUAUUUUAGAAAGGCAAAUGCAUAUAAAUUAGAUUUUGCUAAUGUUAUCUUUUAGCCUUGGAAAGAUUUUUAUUUCGUUGAUUGGAGCCUUUGUAUUUUAUGGAAUUUUUUUUUAAGGUUUUUGUUGGAAAAUUUCAAACAAACCAACAAGAAAGAGAAUAGUAUAAAGAACUCUUAUGUACCCAUUACCCACCUUCAGUAUUUCUCGGUGUCUUGACAAAAUUAUUUCAUGUAUUCACCCUAUGGUAUCAUAAUACCUAAAAACUUUGAAAAUAAUGGAGUUCUCAUGCUGUCAGGGACAGGGAUAUAUUUGGCAUAUAUUUCAUUGGCAACGGUGGAACAAAUUAGGAAGCUAUAGCUUUUAUGACUGAGGAAAUAAGAAUUUUUAUUCCAACCAAUAAAUUUUUUUUAUUUUUUAUUCUUAGUUGUAGAUGGACACAAAAUACCUUUUUCUUUUUAAUGUGGUGCUGAGGAUUGAACCCAGUUCCUCACACAUUACCACUGAACCACAACCCCAGCCCUAAAUUUUUUUUUUUUUACAUUUUUUUAGUUGUUGAUGGACC